GACGAACGCUGGCGGCGUGCUUAACACAUGCAAGUCGAACGGAAAGGCCCUGCUUUUGUGGGGUGCUCGAGUGGCGAACGGGUGAGUAACACGUGAGUAACCUGCCCUUGACUUUGGGAUAACUUCAGGAAACUGGGGCUAAUACCGGAUAGGAGCUCCUGCUGCAUGGUGGGGGUUGGAAAGUUUCGGCGGUUGGGGAUGGACUCGCGGCUUAUCAGCUUGUUGGUGGGGUAGUGGCUUACCAAGGCUUUGACGGGUAGCCGGCCUGAGAGGGUGACCGGCCACAUUGGGACUGAGAUACGGCCCAGACUCCUACGGGAGGCAGCAGUGGGGAAUAUUGCACAAUGGGCGGAAGCCUGAUGCAGCAACGCCGCGUGCGGGAUGACGGCCUUCGGGUUGUAAACCGCUUCCGCCUGUGACGAAGCGUGAGUGACGGUAAUGGGUAAAGAAGCACAGGCUAACUACGUG
Molecule: ribosomal RNA, 468 nt
Filed under: uncultured bacterium
Lineage: Bacteria
Description: partial 16S ribosomal RNA
Rfam family: Bacterial small subunit ribosomal RNA
Source: RNAcentral